CCGUCAAUGGGAAAAAAUCGACUUGCUUUGCUUCUUUAGAAGCUGUUGCAGUACUUAGUACAACUGAAUCACCGUAGCGAACUAAUGCUGCUCCGUUCGCUUGUUUAGCUAACUCUCCAACUUCAACAGAAAGUUCACGUCCAGCCCAAUCUAUUGAAAAUAUUUUCUUUUCUUGAUCCAUAUAUGUACUCCUCUCUAACUUCUUACAAAUUUUAUAACAAAAGUAACCUUAUAUACUUCUAUACUAACAUGCACGAAAAAUAAACGCACUUGUCGAACUUACUUUUUAGUAUG
Molecule: non-coding RNA, 294 nt
Filed under: Bacillus coahuilensis p1.1.43
Lineage: Bacteria; Bacillati; Bacillota; Bacilli; Caryophanales; Bacillaceae
Description: Listeria sRNA rliD
Rfam family: Listeria sRNA rliD
Source: Rfam by way of RNAcentral